AUAAUUGAAGGAUUCCAUGAUUGUAAGCAGCAAAGAUAUAGGAAUAAAUUUCAAUUAUCAUGAUUAUAAAGAGCAUAAAUAAGGAAAAUGAACAGAGGGGAAAGCCUUCAUGUCAUCGCCUGGGUCGCGGCCAUGGGCGGAAUCCUCGCGGUGUUGGGGUGCGCGGCUGCGCCGCCACCUCCCUUGCUGGGCGAUCUCGAAUCAUCGAGUUCUCCCGCAGGUUGCAGCACAGAGGCCCUGAUUGGAGUGGCUUGCAUUGUUGUCAGGAUUGUUAUCUUGCUCGCCAACAAUUGGCUAUUAUAUAUCCUACUUCUGGAGAUCAACCACUCUAUAAUGAAGACAAAUCAAUUGUUGUGACGGUUUGUAAUUAUCCCAUGAACUUUUUAUUUCUGUUAAAUGCAUUCAAUUUGUCAUAGAUUUGAACCUAUUGUUUGUCCAGUAUAUCCAUGUACCAAUUUUUCACAAUAAAAAUGUCUAAGGUCUGCAUGUCA
Non-coding RNA from Phoenix dactylifera (date palm), 491 nucleotides. The record is from RefSeq and is a predicted model, not a curated record. NCBI's taxonomy places the organism in Eukaryota, Viridiplantae, Streptophyta, Magnoliopsida, Arecales, Arecaceae.